This 105-nucleotide small nuclear RNA is filed under the name Setaria italica (foxtail millet). Lineage: Eukaryota; Viridiplantae; Streptophyta; Magnoliopsida; Poales; Poaceae. The record is from RNAcentral.
CGUCUCUUCGGAGACGCCCCCUCUCAACUUGGAAUGAUACAGAGAAGAUUAGCAUGGCCCUGCGCAUGGAUGACACGCACAAAUUGAGGAAAGGUCCAAUUUUUU